This 1071-nucleotide long non-coding RNA is filed under the name Felis catus (domestic cat). Its description in RNAcentral is "lncRNA (ENSFCAG00000047637.1)". Lineage: Eukaryota; Metazoa; Chordata; Mammalia; Carnivora; Felidae. The record is from RNAcentral.
AUGAAAAUGUUUCUGAAAUGUAUUACGUAUUCUCCCCAACAGUGUUUCCGGACGGUAGCUCAGCCUUUUACAGCGAACACAGCGAUGGCGGCCACACGAUUCUUGCCGUGCCCACCUGUCAUCGGAGCAGCCCAGCAGGUGGAAAGACGGCGAGGCGUCUGCUCCAACCUGAAAGCACGGACGCCUGUAGCACUCAGGUUCCCGUUUUCGACUUUCCAGUCUCCUUCCUCCUGCCAGGGAGCUUGGGGAAGAUCUUCUGUAUUUGUGGUGGCUCUUAUCCAAGAAGGCCCCUCACACACUGAACACAGCUGACCUGCGUAAUCCCUGGGAUGUUGUGGAAAUGACAGCAUGACUUCAGACACUAGAUUAAGUAAGACCUUGUGGCUUCUGCCUUGUUUUUUUGGGGGGGUCACUCUCCCUGGAAGAAACCAGCCACCGUGUUGUGAGGUGGUACCCUGUGGGGAGGCCCGCGUGCCACCAGCAGCCAACACGUGGCUUGCCAGCCAUGCAAGCGAGCAGAUCUUCCAGUCCCGGUCAAGCCUUCAGAUGAUGACAGCACCAAAAACCAUCUUGACUGAACCUUGUUAGUGAGCACCCGGCUAAGCCGCGCUCCCAUUCCUGACCCACAGAAAUUGUGUGAGAUGAUAAACGUUUACUGUUUUAUGCUGCCAAGACUCUGGGGGAAUUUGUUACGCAGCCAUGGGUGACUGUUACAGUAUCUGAAUCCACACGUGCCGGAGCAGAGUGGGGCACUCCAGCUCAAAGAGAGGUACUAUGGUGAUGUCAUAACUAAUCACGGAUUGUCACAGAGCUCUGUAAAUAGAGGAUAAUUUGACCCCAAACAAGGUGGGAGGUUAGUAAGGAAACGGAGUGGGAGUUUCUUUGACGUGGUUCUGACUCACCCAGUGAUUCCUCACUCCGGUUUCCUUUUCCUGCCAUCUCUGCUUGUGUAAGCACAUCUCGGACUGUAUUUACAAAUCAAAAUCAGAAAGCCUCAGAUCUCUCUCACCCUGAGAACUUCUCAUCUAAAAUCACAACCAGGAGGCCUAAAUAAAGAGAAAAGAAGGAACA